Molecule: ribosomal RNA, 301 nt
Filed under: uncultured bacterium
Lineage: Bacteria
Description: partial 16S ribosomal RNA
Rfam family: Bacterial small subunit ribosomal RNA
Source: RNAcentral
CAGUCGCCGCGGUAAUACAGAGGGUGCGAGCGUUAAUCGGAUUUACUGGGCGUAAAGCGUGCGUAGGCGGCUUCUUAAGUCGGAUGUGAAAUCCCUGAGCUUAACUUAGGAAUUGCAUUCGAUACUGGGAAGCUAGAGUAUGGGAGAGGAUGGUAGAAUUCCAGGUUUAGCGGUGAAAUGCGUAGAGAUCUGGAGGAAUACCGAUGGCGAAGGCAGCCAUCUGGCCUAAUACUGACGCUGAGGUACGAAAGCAUGGGGAGCAAACAGGAUUAGAUACCCCCGUAGUCCCUGUCUCUUAUAU